RNAcentral lists this long non-coding RNA (220 nucleotides) under Nicotiana benthamiana. RNAcentral's name for it is "long non-coding RNA (NBEN_LNC039828)". The record is from RNAcentral. Lineage: Eukaryota; Viridiplantae; Streptophyta; Magnoliopsida; Solanales; Solanaceae.
AAAUUUUCUCGAUCUUCUGGAGGCUUCUCUCAACUACUCCCUUUCUCUCUCUUAUUUCACUCACUAUAUCCUCCAUGUUCUUCAGCUUAAUCUUCACGUUUUCAUGGUAUCAGAGCCACAUGAUCUUCGGAUCCUUCUCGGUUGCGUGUUAUCGAUCCUGUUCGAAGCUUUUGCUGAAGCUUUUCUCAUGGUUAUCGGUGAGAGAUACUGUUUGGAGACG